Molecule: ribosomal RNA, 415 nt
Filed under: uncultured Galactomyces
Lineage: Eukaryota; Fungi; Ascomycota; Dipodascomycetes; Dipodascales; Dipodascaceae
Description: partial 18S ribosomal RNA
Rfam family: 5.8S ribosomal RNA (bases 142-290)
Source: RNAcentral
UCGAUUCUUGGUCAUUUAGAGGAAGUAAAAGUCGUAACAAGGUUUCCGUAGGUGAACCUGCGGAAGGAUCAUUAUGAAUUAAUAAUAUUUGUGAAAUUUCAACAAACAACAUCAAUUUUAUAGUCUAUUAUUUUUAAUUAAAACUUUUAACAAUGGAUCUCUUGGUUCUCGUAUCGAUGAAGAACGCAGCGAAACGCGAUAUUUCUUGUGAAUUGCAGAAGUGAAUCAUCAGUUUUUGAACGCACAUUGCACUUUGGGGUAUCCCCCAAAGUAUACUUGUUUGAGCGUUGUUUCUCUCUUGGAAUUGCUUUGCUCUUCUAAAAUUUCGAAUCAAAUUCGUUUGAAAAACAACACUAUUCAACCUCAGAUCAAGUAGGAUUACCCGCUGAACUUAAGCAUAUCAAUAAGCGGAGGA